GUUAUGAUGACCGAGUGGUUAAGGCAUUGGACUGGAAAUUCAGUGGGGUUUCCCUACGUAAGUUCAAGCCCUGCUUGCAAUG
Molecule: non-coding RNA, 82 nt
Organism: Gymnothorax javanicus (giant moray)
Lineage: Eukaryota; Metazoa; Chordata; Actinopteri; Anguilliformes; Muraenidae
Source: the annotation of a GenBank genome assembly